CCAGAGCGUGCACUGUGACUACUUCUACUACAUAUCUGAAUGUUUGUCUACACUACGCAGGUCUACUUACUUUGUUGAUUCUCAUUAUAGAUAUUUGAUACUGGAGCUGCUGGAAGGGGUGGCGGCGUAUCACCGUGGUCAGGUUGAUAAGUCAAUGAAGGUGUUGACUUAUGUACAAGAGUUGUUCACCCAGUUUCAGGUGCUGGAUGAAUCUCUUUCUCUUGUGAUGAUUAUGGGCUUCAGAGAACGAGAUACAAAAAGGGCACUGAGGAUGAGCAAUCAAGAUGUUUCCAUCAGCCCUGUAUAGUUGUUAGUCAUCCUAAGAGUUUCUUGACUUUGCAGGUUUGAAAAGGAGCUUGCAGCUGAAGCACUAUGAGGAAAUAACAGUGGAGAAGGCAUUGGAUUUGACAAAUCCAGAGACCAAUUCUUCUAUACAGCAGUCUUAGCUUUGCAAGGUGGAGGGACAAUGGACCAAGCAAUCUGUCCACUGCUCUCGAGACAGGCACCAAACCCCACAGAUGCUGCUAACCAAUCUGAGGCAUUCCUGCAGUCAAUGCUAACAACAAUAGUCAAUCCGAUGUUGCAAUUGACAUUGCAAAUUCUCUUGCGUCAAUGCUUGAUAAUCAAAAUGGUCAAGUUGGAGGUCCUUCAACGUCUAGUAUUGCAUCAGAGCGUGAACUUGCUGAAGAACUAGCACAAGGAGAUGCUUUCACUAACUAUGAUAUUGAAGUUACUAGACAAGGUGAAGUCAUAAGUGAGUACUUGGCUCUACUGAAUUCAGCGGGAACAAAGUGAAUAUCACUCUGCCAAUAAGAAUUGCGACUUUAACAACCAUGCAUGUACAUGUAUAAUAACAAUAGGUCAAGGAUCUAGUUAUGGUGAUGGUAUUCCAGAUGAUCAAUGUCUUUGAUCCGGCAUUUUCCCGACUAUUCCAAGACUAA
Molecule: long non-coding RNA, 941 nt
Organism: Rosa chinensis
Lineage: Eukaryota; Viridiplantae; Streptophyta; Magnoliopsida; Rosales; Rosaceae
Exons: 3
Source: RefSeq, a predicted model, not a curated record